This 22-nucleotide microRNA is filed under the name Patiria miniata (bat star). RNAcentral describes it as "Pmi-Mir-96-P2_3p* (star (passenger))". The record is from RNAcentral. Lineage: Eukaryota; Metazoa; Echinodermata; Asteroidea; Valvatida; Asterinidae.
GUGAUUCUGGUAUUGCCAAACC